Molecule: unclassified non-coding RNA, 324 nt
Filed under: uncultured fungus
Lineage: Eukaryota; Fungi
Also listed under: 1 other name
Description: partial contains 5.8S ribosomal RNA, internal transcribed spacer 2, and large subunit ribosomal RNA
Rfam family: 5.8S ribosomal RNA (bases 1-52)
Source: RNAcentral
AACGCACCUUGCGCUCCUUGGUAUUCCGAGGAGCAUGCCUGUUUGAGUGUCGUGUAAUUCUCAAUCCCGUUUGGUUUUGAAUCAGACGUGGCUUGGAUUUGGGAGCUUGCUGGUACUCUACAUUGUGGGGUUCGGCUCUCCUUGAAUGCAUUAGCUCGGUCACGUUAGUUGCCCGACGGUUCACGGUGUGAUAGUUUAACUUCAUCGCCGUUGUGACCGCCUCGGUGCCUGUGCCUGCCGGCUUCUAAUCUGCUGUGUCUCUUUAGAUGCGCAUACACUUUGACAAUUGACCUCAAAUCAGGUAGGACUACCCGCUGAACUUAA